This is a non-coding RNA of Triticum urartu, 577 nucleotides long. The record is from RefSeq and is a predicted model, not a curated record. Lineage: Eukaryota; Viridiplantae; Streptophyta; Magnoliopsida; Poales; Poaceae.
GGGAGAUCCUAUUCAUGGUACGCACGUUCCCCCAGGACUUUUCUCUGCUCGAGAUCUUGGAGCCCAAGGAUAUCCGAAAUAUCAUUUCUCACUCGCACAAGCAGUGGAAGCCACCCAAAGCGGAGGGAGGGGAAUCUCAGGAUUCCUAUAACCCUGCUUAUAUAGAUUUUUUUAAGAGCUCGUUUAGGGUUUUUCUCGGGUUUGGUACCAAAUCUGGAUAAACUCCUUUCGGUUCUUAAACCUGAGGAAAUUCUAUUUCUGGCUUUUCUUUUCCCGCGGGAUGCGAACAUGUUUAAAUUGCCCCUAAAGAAGAUCAAAGAUAUGAUUCAAGAAGCAAUGGCUAAAGAGGAGGAAAACAGAGAAAAGCCUCCGGUGGAAGGUUGUGAAGACCGUCGUAUGACGGAGGAGGAAAGGACAAAAUUGCUUGAAGCAUUUUCUUUCCUAUGGGAUAAAAAACAAUGAAUUGGAACUAUUGAGUGGUGUAGGUAUCCAUCUUAGCAAAUAGAGAUACCGAGGCCCACCAACCUACUACUUGUUGGUUUGGUGGGGAAAGAGGAGUGGGUAUGAGGGCUUCUUU